GCUCCUCGUGAGACCGGAGGUCGGGGAGGUCCUGUACCUUUACCUGGCUACAUCCCCGAAGGCAGUUAGUUCGGUGCUCGUCCGAGAGAACGAGAACCGGAUCCACCAACCGAUAUAUUAUGUCAGCAAGGUACUCCACGAAGUCGAGACUCGAUACUCGAAAGCAGAAAAAAUGAUUUUCACCCUAGUCAUUUCGGCACAGCGACU
RNAcentral lists this long non-coding RNA (207 nucleotides) under Elaeis guineensis (African oil palm). Its description in RNAcentral is "long non-coding RNA (EGUI_LNC005450)". Lineage: Eukaryota; Viridiplantae; Streptophyta; Magnoliopsida; Arecales; Arecaceae. The record is from RNAcentral.